This 301-nucleotide ribosomal RNA is filed under the name uncultured bacterium. RNAcentral describes it as "partial 16S ribosomal RNA". It matches the Rfam family "Bacterial small subunit ribosomal RNA", at positions 509 to 809 of the family's 1533-position model. The record is from RNAcentral.
CAGCCGCCGCGGUAAUACGAAGGGUGCAAGCGUUAAUCGGAAUUACUGGGCGUAAAGCGUGCGUAGGUGGUGGUUUAAGUCCGUUGUGAAAGCCCUGGGCUCAACCUGGGAAUUGCAGUGGAUACUGGGUCACUAGAGUGUGGUAGAGGAUAGUGGAAUUUCCGAUGUAGCAGUGAAAUGCGUAGAGAUCGGAAGGAACAUCUGUGGCGAAGGCGACUAUCUGGGCCAACACUGACACUGAGGCACGAAAGCGUGGGGAGCAAACAGGAUUAGAUACCCCAGUAGUCCCUGUCUCUUAUAA